CCCAGACUCCUACGGGAGGCAGCAGUGGGGAAUAUUGCACAAUGGGGGAAACCCUGAUGCAGCGACGCCGCGUGAGUGAAGAAGUAUUUCGGUAUGUAAAGCUCUAUCAGCAGGGAAGAAAAUGACGGUACCUGAUUAAGAAGCCCCGGCUAACUACGUGCCAGCAGCCGCGGUAAUACGUAGGGGGCAAGCGUUAUCCGGAUUUACUGGGUGUAAAGGGAGCGUAGACGGUGAUGCAAGUCAGAAGUGAAAGCCCGGGGCUCAACUCCGGGACUGCUUUUGAAACUGUGUGACUGGAGUGCAGGAGAGGUAAGCGGAAUUCCUGGUGUAGCGGUGAAAUGCGUAGAUAUCAGGAGGAACACCAGUGGCGAAGGCGGCUUACUGGACUGUAACUGACGUUGAGGCUCGAAAGCGUGGGGAGCAAACAGGAUUAGAUACCCGAGUAC
This 446-nucleotide ribosomal RNA is filed under the name uncultured bacterium. RNAcentral describes it as "bacterial SSU rRNA". It matches the Rfam family "Bacterial small subunit ribosomal RNA", at positions 330 to 793 of the family's 1533-position model. The record is from RNAcentral.